Molecule: ribosomal RNA, 1507 nt
Filed under: Salmonella enterica subsp. enterica serovar Anatum
Lineage: Bacteria; Pseudomonadati; Pseudomonadota; Gammaproteobacteria; Enterobacterales; Enterobacteriaceae
Description: bacterial SSU rRNA
Rfam family: Bacterial small subunit ribosomal RNA
Source: RNAcentral
CAUGGCUCAGAUUGAACGCUGGCGGCAGGCCUAACACAUGCAAGUCGAACGGUAACAGGAAGCAGCUUGCUGCUUCGCUGACGAGUGGCGGACGGGUGAGUAAUGUCUGGGAAACUGCCUGAUGGAGGGGGAUAACUACUGGAAACGGUGGCUAAUACCGCAUAACGUCGCAAGACCAAAGAGGGGGACCUUCGGGCCUCUUGCCAUCAGAUGUGCCCAGAUGGGAUUAGCUUGUUGGUGAGGUAACGGCUCACCAAGGCGACGAUCCCUAGCUGGUCUGAGAGGAUGACCAGCCACACUGGAACUGAGACACGGUCCAGACUCCUACGGGAGGCAGCAGUGGGGAAUAUUGCACAAUGGGCGCAAGCCUGAUGCAGCCAUGCCGCGUGUAUGAAGAAGGCCUUCGGGUUGUAAAGUACUUUCAGCGGGGAGGAAGGUGUUGUGGUUAAUAACCGCAGCAAUUGACGUUACCCGCAGAAGAAGCACCGGCUAACUCCGUGCCAGCAGCCGCGGUAAUACGGAGGGUGCAAGCGUUAAUCGGAAUUACUGGGCGUAAAGCGCACGCAGGCGGUCUGUCAAGUCGGAUGUGAAAUCCCCGGGCUCAACCUGGGAACUGCAUUCGAAACUGGCAGGCUUGAGUCUUGUAGAGGGGGGUAGAAUUCCAGGUGUAGCGGUGAAAUGCGUAGAGAUCUGGAGGAAUACCGGUGGCGAAGGCGGCCCCCUGGACAAAGACUGACGCUCAGGUGCGAAAGCGUGGGGAGCAAACAGGAUUAGAUACCCUGGUAGUCCACGCCGUAAACGAUGUCUACUUGGAGGUUGUGCCCUUGAGGCGUGGCUUCCGGAGCUAACGCGUUAAGUAGACCGCCUGGGGAGUACGGCCGCAAGGUUAAAACUCAAAUGAAUUGACGGGGGCCCGCACAAGCGGUGGAGCAUGUGGUUUAAUUCGAUGCAACGCGAAGAACCUUACCUGGUCUUGACAUCCACGGAAGUUUUCAGAGAUGAGAAUGUGCCUUCGGGAACCGUGAGACAGGUGCUGCAUGGCUGUCGUCAGCUCGUGUUGUGAAAUGUUGGGUUAAGUCCCGCAACGAGCGCAACCCUUAUCCUUUGUUGCCAGCGGUCCGGCCGGGAACUCAAAGGAGACUGCCAGUGAUAAACUGGAGGAAGGUGGGGAUGACGUCAAGUCAUCAUGGCCCUUACGACCAGGGCUACACACGUGCUACAAUGGCGCAUACAAAGAGAAGCGACCUCGCGAGAGCAAGCGGACCUCAUAAAGUGCGUCGUAGUCCGGAUUGGAGUCUGCAACUCGACUCCAUGAAGUCGGAAUCGCUAGUAAUCGUGGAUCAGAAUGCCACGGUGAAUACGUUCCCGGGCCUUGUACACACCGCCCGUCACACCAUGGGAGUGGGUUGCAAAAGAAGUAGGUAGCUUAACCUUCGGGAGGGCGCUUACCACUUUGUGAUUCAUGACUGGGGUGAAGUCGUAACAAGGUAACCGUAGGGGAACCUGC